GACGAACGCUGGCGGUGUGCUUAACACAUGCAAGUCGAACGGUGACGAGGAGCUUGCUCCUCCGAUCAGUGGCGAACGGGUGAGUAACACGUGAGUAACCUGCCCCAGACCCUGGGAUAACAGUUGGAAACAGCUGCUAAUACCGGAUACGAGACGGAGAGGCAUCUCUACCGUCUGGAAAGAUUUAUCGGUCUGGGAUGGACUCGCGGCCUAUCAGCUUGUUGGUGAGGUAAAGGCUCACCAAGGCGACGACGGGUAGCCGGCCUGAGAGGGCGACCGGCCACACUGGGACUGAGACACGGCCCAGACUCCUACGGGAGGCAGCAGUGGGGAAUAUUGCACAAUGGGCGAAAGCCUGAUGCAGCGACGCCGCGUGAGGGAUGACGGCCUCGGUUGUAACGUACUUUCUAGCAGGAAGAAGACGAAAGUAGACGGUACCUGCAGAAGAAG
Molecule: ribosomal RNA, 450 nt
Filed under: uncultured bacterium
Lineage: Bacteria
Description: bacterial SSU rRNA
Rfam family: Bacterial small subunit ribosomal RNA
Source: RNAcentral